This 253-nucleotide ribosomal RNA is filed under the name uncultured bacterium. RNAcentral's name for it is "partial 16S ribosomal RNA". It matches the Rfam family "Bacterial small subunit ribosomal RNA", at positions 524 to 776 of the family's 1533-position model. The record is from RNAcentral.
UACGUAGGUGGCAAGCGUUGUCCGGAAUUACUGGGUGUAAAGCGCGUGUAGGUGGUGGGCCAAGUCUGUGGUGAAAUCGCCCGGCUCAACUGGGCGGGGUCCGUGGAAACUGGUCGACUGGAGGACGGUAGAGGCGAGUGGAAUUCCCGGUGUAGUGGUGAAAUGCGUAGAGAUCGGGAGGAACACCAGUGGCGAAGGCGGCUCGCUGGGCCGGUCCUGACACUGAGACGCGAAGGCGUGGGGAGCGAACGGG